This 370-nucleotide ribosomal RNA is filed under the name uncultured eukaryote. RNAcentral describes it as "partial 18S ribosomal RNA". It matches the Rfam family "Eukaryotic small subunit ribosomal RNA", at positions 592 to 976 of the family's 1831-position model. The record is from RNAcentral.
CAAUAGCGUAUAUUAAAGUUGUUGCAGUUAAAAAGCUCGUAGUUGGAUUUCUGGUCGGAAGCUCCUGUCCUCUGUUGAGCGUACAAGUGCGUCCUACCAUCCUUCUGUUAACCUUUAAGGCUUUCGCGGCUUUCUAGGGGCUCAGAUAUUUUACCUUGAGAAAAUUAGAGUGUUUCAGGCAGGCUAGCGCCGGAAUACAUUAGCAUGGAAUAAUGGAAUAGGACUUUUGCCUCUUCUGUUGGUCAUGAGGCUCGAGUAAUGAUUAAUAGGGAUAGUUGGGGGCAUUAGUACUUAACUGUCAGAGGUGAAAUUCUCGGAUUUGUUAAAGACUAACUUAUGCGAAAGCAUUUGCCAAGGAUGUUUUCAUUAA